Molecule: ribosomal RNA, 253 nt
Filed under: uncultured bacterium
Lineage: Bacteria
Description: partial 16S ribosomal RNA
Rfam family: Bacterial small subunit ribosomal RNA
Source: RNAcentral
UACGUAGGGGGCGAGCGUUAUCCGGAAUUACUGGGUGUAAAGGGAGCGUAGACGGCGAAGUAAGCCUGAAGUGGAAGCCCGCGGCCCAACCGCGGAACUGCUUUGGGAACUGUUUUGCUGGAGUAUGGGAGGGGUAAGCGGAAUUCCUGGUGUAGCGGUGAAAUGCGUAGAUAUCAGGAGGAACACCGGUGGCGAAGGCGGCUUACUGGACCAUGACUGACGUUGAGGCUCGAAAGCGUGGGGAGCGAACAGG